CCGUCUUCAUACCCUCAUGUUCACGGUGCACCUUCCUCUUCUGGAAUAGCAUAUGAAAGAAUCACUUCCAGGAACACUUCACUCAGGGAGGGGGUACAAGUCCUUCUGAUAGAGGACGAGCCUAUGCACUGUGUGAGGCCUGUAGUGGCAUGAUAGGCCUGAGUAUUUCCAGAUUUAGAUAGCUUGGAAGUGCAGCCAAAAGCAAGUGGUAAACUCCAUUAGAAGCUAAAUAGCAGCAUGAGACCAACACUCAACAAGCACCAUAAGAAAAAGGUGAAGAGAACUGUGAAGAGAUGGUUCAACAGGAUAUAGAACAGUUAAGAAGAUAGGGAUUAGCUCUAAAGGCUAUGCUAUUCUGGGUGGGGAGCAAAGAGGCACAACAUGCACACUGCAGGUGGACAGGGAGCCACUGCCUCUCCCAUAUACUGGGAGAUCUCCCCUUUCUGUCUGGGUCUACCCCCGCUCAUCUACUUGGAUUCCCAUCCUCUGGGUCAGUGAGCACACUGGCAGUGGUUCCACCCCUCAUGGAUCAGAGCCAGGAGAACAAAUGGGAACUCCAUGUGAGGGCCCCAGACAUGGUGGGCAGGUGGUGCUGGAUACAUUCUGGGCCCUUUCUAUGGAUUGGAUCUCCCCAGCUACAGUGGACAUCAUGGACGCACUCAGGUAGCCUGGUAGGCUCCAGUGUACUCUGAAGUAGCCAUCAACCUGUAUAGCUUGUUGGGUUCCAGGAGAACACAGGAAGGGGGUUCCCCCAACUCUCUCCCCUCCACAAUCCUGCAAGUGUACGAUGUGUCAAGCCUCUUGUACUUGUUUUCCCUUGCUGGGUCCCUACUCUGGGCCUUGGUAUUCUGUGCAGCCCCUCUCCUUGGCCAACAGCUAAGAGCAAACUUAGAACAGGAGCGAAUCAGGGAAAUCCAAUGGUUUUAUUAAAAGAAGACACAGUAAAGGCUCAUGGUGAGUGUUGAUGUGAAGUGAUUUCUUCCCAGUGAGCAGAAUGUCAAAGUGAAGAAAUUCAAUGAGGCAGAGAAAUAUGGGAAGAACUAUGACUCUCUUAAGAUAGAAUCCUCAUUUAAUCUGUACAUACAUGGAUGGAUGAACCAGAUUCCCACUGUCUCUCCCUACUAUCCAAAAACCCCAUCAAAGGGAACAAGCUAGGCUGGAUUAGCAGGGAAUGAAGCCCCUGUUGAGCUUGACUCUAGUCUAGCAUGGUGAAGAGACAUGAGAACACUGCAAUAAGUAGAAGACCUCUGAUGCUCUCUGGUUCCCUGGGAGGGGUCAGGGUGAGGUCCACCAGCCUCACAGACUACAGUGAAAUGCUACUUCUCAUCAUUUUCCACUGACCCAGGGAGACAGGGGUGGCUUGAGCCAUGAGUGGUUCUCACUUCUGGCACCACGUGUCUGUCACACAUAUUGUAUGCUAUGGCCCAUUCUGGGAACAGUGCCAUGUUCAUAGUUUGACUGGGGAGUUACACUUGUCAAACAGUAAUGCAGGUGACCUACAGCGAACUCACAGAUGACGGAAACUAUCCUUAAAGCUUGCUCUACCAUGAUUUUCAUUACACAUACAAACCAUGAAUGCAGGGCAUGAAGAUCCUUCUGAAUUUUUGGUUUUUAAGUAGGAAUUGUCAGAAAAGUUACCACAGGAAUAACUGCCUUCUGGAAGGAAAGUGUUCAGGUGACAUAGUUUUAUUGACCCUGCAAUGUCUGCUGUUCUUGUGAUUUUGAAGCAGAAUUCACCUAGGGUUGGAUUGUUGACCCAGUAAUAGGGAAUGUGAGCUGGAUUAGAACAUCAUGAGACAGAUUCGAUUACCUACUGAUUAUGUGCAUUUUGCCUUUGAAUCCUGCUCAGUAUGAGAGGAACAAUAUGUUCAGACAUUUGGUGUGUAUGCUCCACUGAGAAGACAAUGAGCAAGACUACCACUUGUAGAAUUAUGACUUAAGGCCCCUAAGUUGAAAUUCCACUGAUGCAGGGCUGUAAAAUGGAGCCAAAGACCCUCAGUUAGCCCUGGAUAGCCAGGUCUGGUCUAUACCUGCUGGAGGUGCCAUCGCAUUCCCACAAGUUGGUGGGUCCCUGUUGUGUUGGGGCACAGGUGUCCAGUGUGGAAAGACACUCAUCCUCUGAAACAUCGUGUGCUAGAAACGAGACAGACCUUUCAUCCAUCAUGCUAAUGCAUGUGUGUGUAAAAUCUGGUGCUAAACCAUUCCAAGAUGACCUGCUUCUGUGUCGGGGAUUCAUAUAUAGCAGAACAGUUCACUUACUUUGUCUCUUGAAAGUCAUCCCUCAACACAAGGUUUCU
Rattus norvegicus (Norway rat) is the source of this 2297-nucleotide non-coding RNA. The record is from Rfam. NCBI's taxonomy places the organism in Eukaryota, Metazoa, Chordata, Mammalia, Rodentia, Muridae.